ACCCAGCUAGCUCAGUGGGUAGAGCAUGAGACUCAAUCUCAGGGUUGUGGGUUCGAGCCCCACAUUGGGCG
This 71-nucleotide transfer RNA is filed under the name Mus musculus (house mouse). RNAcentral's name for it is "tRNA-Sup (TCA) (tRNA-Sup-TCA-1-1)". It matches the Rfam family "tRNA". Rfam says of the family: Transfer RNA (tRNA) molecules are approximately 80 nucleotides in length. The record is from Rfam by way of RNAcentral. Lineage: Eukaryota; Metazoa; Chordata; Mammalia; Rodentia; Muridae.